CCUACGGGUGGCAGCAGUGGGGAAUAUUGCACAAUGGGGGAAACCCUGAUGCAGCGACGCCGCGUGAGUGAAGAAGUAUUUCGGUAUGUAAAGCUCUAUCAGCAGGGAAGAAAUAGCGACCUUUGGGUCGCCAGACGGUACCUGAUUAAGAAGCCCCGGCUAACUCGGUGCCAGCAGCCGCGGUAAUACGGAGGGGGCAAGCGUUAUCCGGAGUUACUGGGUGUAAAGGGGGCGUAGACGGCAGCGCAAGUCUGAAGUGAAAUGCCGGGGCUGAACCCCGGAACUGUGUUGGAAACUGUGCAGCUAGAGUGCAGGGGAGGUAUGUGGAAUUCCGGGUGUAGCGGUGAAAUGCGUAGAUAUUAGGAGGAACACCAGUGGCGAAGGCGGCUUACUGGACUGUAACUGACGUUGAGGCUCGAAGGCGUGGGGAGCAAACAGGAUUAGAUACCCUAGUAGUC
Molecule: ribosomal RNA, 458 nt
Filed under: uncultured bacterium
Lineage: Bacteria
Description: partial 16S ribosomal RNA
Rfam family: Bacterial small subunit ribosomal RNA
Source: RNAcentral